GUUUAUGUUUUACAUAUUUGUUUUUCGUUCAUUUUUUUUACAUAAAUAAGGCUGUUAGUUUUCUCGUUUGAAUUGUUUUACAGUGUCUUAUCGGGGCCUUUUAUAGUUGACUAUGCGGUAUGGGCUUUGCUCAUUGUUGAAGGCCGUACGGUGACCUAUAGUUGUUAAUGUCUGUGUCAUUUUGGUCUUUUGUGGAUAGUUGUCUCAUUGGCAAUCAUACCACAUCUUCUUUUUUAUA
RNAcentral lists this long non-coding RNA (238 nucleotides) under Mytilus galloprovincialis (Mediterranean mussel). Lineage: Eukaryota; Metazoa; Mollusca; Bivalvia; Mytilida; Mytilidae. The record is from RNAcentral.